Molecule: long non-coding RNA, 319 nt
Filed under: Mytilus galloprovincialis (Mediterranean mussel)
Lineage: Eukaryota; Metazoa; Mollusca; Bivalvia; Mytilida; Mytilidae
Source: RNAcentral
UAUAUAUGUAGGACUCGGAACCGCGAUGGUACUCCGAACUGCGAUGGUCACGCUGAAGUGCGAUGGUAUACGCUGAAGUGCGAUGGUGACAUUAUGACGUUAACUUGUUGAUAUCUACGCUGAAGUGCGGUGGUGGUUACGCUGUAGUGCGAUGGUCUUCCUGUCACAUUGAGUAAAAAAUAAAAGUUUAAUUACGAACAUGUAAAAUGAAAUCAAAUUAAUUAGAUUUUACAAAAAUAGCUGCUACAAUGUAGCCUCGCGUUUGGAAGAUCUUUUAAUUUCUGUUCAAGUCAAACGAAAGAUUUUAAUUUUGAUUUUU